Molecule: long non-coding RNA, 1479 nt
Filed under: Chlamydomonas reinhardtii
Lineage: Eukaryota; Viridiplantae; Chlorophyta; Chlorophyceae; Chlamydomonadales; Chlamydomonadaceae
Description: long non-coding RNA (CREI_LNC000365)
Source: RNAcentral
UGCGCGUCCCGCACGGCACAUAAAAUGGGGCACAUGAGGCACCUGAAGCUCUCUUGAUGUGUUACAGUUCAUGCAUCUGCGCUCCGACACGUGCCCCUCGUACUGGUGUCGUGGUGUGCCAAAAUGGUGCAAGUCCGCACGGCUCUCCCGCCCGCUCCAUCCACACGACCCGCAACCCACCACGUGCUGCACGCACACAUUCUACAAGGCCUACCAUUGCUACACAACACUAAACGUACAGACCAGGCAUACUCAGGGUCUCGAGGCAAGUGUGAAGGCAACCGAUACGGAUCCCUGCCAGCACUACACCGCCGAUCACACCAUAACACCAUGCGCGCACAGCGCAGCCUGCCAAUUCCGCUGCCGCCACCUGAAGUCUGCCGCUUGCCGCUAGCCGCCUCCAUACUUGAGCUCGGCCUGCAUGGUGUUUGGGGUAAGUUGGUCAGUGCAUGGUGGCACGGUGUCGUGCAGGGCAGGGCCUAGACCGCAUUCGGUCCCCUAUAACUAACUUCCCAUGUACGUCAUUCAAAUCCUAUCAUUCAUCCUAUUAUGAGUUGUGUAGCAACUUCCGAUCAAACUUGCCUGGUGAGGGUUAGAAGGGCCACGCAUCUACGCGCGCUGCGCCCCGAGUCGAAUUCCAGUGCCGGACCUGAGGAGACAAGGGGAGGGGGAGGGGGGGAGCUUCACACUCUGAAUCUCUGCUUAUGCUCUUACAACUUCGUCCAUACUGCGCAUGGAUGCUAGCUCGCUUGACCCCCUGAAUUUGUUGUCGCUUGUCGACCCCUGAAAUGGCUGUCGCUAUGUGUCCUGACCUGCCUCACCUGGCACUGUUGAUUCCAGACUUGGUCUCUGAUGCUUGAUUUACAUCCUGUAACAGCAGCGUCAAGACCUGGCUUAGUUGUAGACCCGGUCAACGAGGGUCCGACACCCCCUGCGACAGCGCAGCCCAGCCCCAGCCCCAGCAGCUCAUAACAUACCUUCCAAAGAUUGAUGCCAGGGCUUAGCAGGACUUGAAGACUCGCCCUGUAGACUUGAGCGCCAACUUUGAAAGCAAGUCCAUGGCCGACUGGCAGAGGACCACGAAGUCUCUACAUGGUGCUGAACGAUAGGUAUGUAGCUACAUGUGACAAAGACAGGUUGCUUGAAGAGUGAAGAACUGAACUCGAAAUAUAUGAGCCCCAUGCAGCCCCAUGCAACAAGGAACGCGCUCCAUGCUGGGUCUUGAUUUGCUUGCAUGCUCCGGCUUAAGUUAAUCUACAGCAGGCCGGUACGUCAGUCUUCAGCGCCGGUCCGGGCACGGGUCUCGCCUCCGCCUGCGCCUCCGCGGCUUGUGCUUAGGGAACCACCUGAAGCUGGAUACCGACUUUCUCGGCUUCGCAUGGUUCGUCUUUACAGCUUUCUCAAUAACGGGGAAAGCCUCUCAUGCACACGCACCUCCGCUCAUGCCCACCGCCGCAUGAAGGAAGGCCAGGGGAGGCC